Molecule: ribosomal RNA, 497 nt
Filed under: uncultured bacterium
Lineage: Bacteria
Description: partial 16S ribosomal RNA
Rfam family: Bacterial small subunit ribosomal RNA
Source: RNAcentral
GACGAACGCUGGCGGCGUGCCUAAUACAUGCAAGUUGAGCGCUGAAGGUUGGUACUUGUACCAACUGGAUGAGCAGCGAACGGGUGAGUAACGCGUGGGGAAUCUGCCUUUGAGCGGGGGACAACAUUUGGAAACGAAUGCUAAUACCGCAUAAAAACUUUAAACACAAGUUUUAAGUUUGAAAGAUGCAAUUGCAUCACUCAAAGAUGAUCCCGCGUUGUAUUAGCUAGUUGGUGAGGUAAAGGCUCACCAAGGCGAUGAUACAUAGCCGACCUGAGAGGGUGGACGGCCACAUUGGGACUGGGAAACGGCCCAAGCCCCUACGGGGGGCAGCAGUAGGGGAUCUUCGGCAAUGGACGAAAGUCUGACCGAGCAACGCCGCGUGAGUGGAGGAGGUUUUCGGAUCGUAAAACUCUGUUGGUAGAGAAGAACGUUGGUGAGAGUGAAAAGCUCAUCAAGUGACGGUAACUACCCAGAAAGGAACGGCUAACUACGUG